This 800-nucleotide ribosomal RNA is filed under the name Arthrobacter sp. YM21. RNAcentral describes it as "bacterial SSU rRNA". It matches the Rfam family "Bacterial small subunit ribosomal RNA", at positions 49 to 860 of the family's 1533-position model. Lineage: Bacteria; Bacillati; Actinomycetota; Actinomycetes; Micrococcales; Micrococcaceae. The record is from RNAcentral.
UAACACAUGCAAGUCGAACGAUGAACUGGUGCUUGCACUGGGGAUUAGUGGCGAACGGGUGAGUAACACGUGAGUAACCUGCCCUUGACUCUGGGAUAAGCCUGGGAAACUGGGUCUAAUACCGGAUAUGACCUUCCAUCGCAUGGUGGUUGGUGGAAAGCUUUUGUGGUUUUGGAUGGACUCGCGGCCUAUCAGCUUGUUGGUGGGGUAAUGGCCUACCAAGGCGACGACGGGUAGCCGGCCUGAGAGGGUGACCGGCCACACUGGGACUGAGACACGGCCCAGACUCCUACGGGAGGCAGCAGUGGGGAAUAUUGCACAAUGGGCGGAAGCCUGAUGCAGCGACGCCGCGUGAGGGAUGACGGCCUUCGGGUUGUAAACCUCUUUCAGUAGGGAAGAAGCGAAAGUGACGGUACCUGCAGAAGAAGCGCCGGCUAACUACGUGCCAGCAGCCGCGGUAAUACGUAGGGCGCAAGCGUUAUCCGGAAUUAUUGGGCGUAAAGAGCUCGUAGGCGGUUUGUCGCGUCUGCCGUGAAAGUCCGGGGCUCAACUCCGGAUCUGCGGUGGGUACGGGCAGACUAGAGUGAUGUAGGGGAGACUGGAAUUCCUGGUGUAGCGGUGAAAUGCGCAGAUAUCAGGAGGAACACCGAUGGCGAAGGCAGGUCUCUGGGCAUUAACUGACGCUGAGGAGCGAAAGCAUGGGGAGCGAACAGGAUUAGAUACCCUGGUAGUCCAUGCCGUAAACGUUGGGCACUAGGUGUGGGGGACAUUCCACGUUUUCCGCGCCGUAGCUAACGCAU